GUGCCAGCCGCCGCGGUAAUACGGAGGGUGCAAGCGUUAUCCGGAUUCACUGGGUUUAAAGGGUGCGUAGGCGGGCUUGUAAGUCAGUGGUGAAAGCCCGGGGCUUAACUCCGGAAUUGCCGUUGAUACUGCAAGCCUUGAGUACGGUUGAGGUGGGCGGAAUACAUCAUGUAGUGGUGAAAUACUUAGAUAUGAUGUAGAACACCGAUUGCGAAGGCAGCUCACUAAAGCGUAACUGACGCUGAGGCACGAAAGCAUGGGGAUCAAACAGGAUUAGAAACCCCCGUAGUCC
Molecule: ribosomal RNA, 292 nt
Filed under: uncultured bacterium
Lineage: Bacteria
Description: partial 16S ribosomal RNA
Rfam family: Bacterial small subunit ribosomal RNA
Source: RNAcentral